Pogonomyrmex barbatus (red harvester ant) is the source of this 1336-nucleotide long non-coding RNA. RefSeq lists it as uncharacterized. NCBI's taxonomy places the organism in Eukaryota, Metazoa, Arthropoda, Insecta, Hymenoptera, Formicidae. The record is from RefSeq and is a predicted model, not a curated record.
UACCUACUAACUAAUAAGAUAAAUCAUAGCGUAUAUGAUGCGGCAUUCAAAGAGGUGGAGAUCGUAGUAUCCCAUUCAUCAUAAAUGCUCAUGUAAUUCUGAAAAUUACACCGCGAGAGCGAGAGAAACGCGUCUUAAAUUUAAAAGUCCUACGGUAUCGACUACGGUAAUUUCUACGGAACACCCUGUACGUAGACCAGUAAGAAAAGCAAAGAAAGGAGAGAAACGUGGAAGGGAAAGGUGGAGGCUUUGCGAGACAGCCUCGGACUUCCCUGAAAGGUUUGUCGUCGGGUGACGUCAGCCCUCGUCCACAAAACGGUCGCCAUCGCAUAUGUACAUCUGUCGCUCGCCCAUAUGUGUGUGUUCCGCGUUUUUGAAUAAAAAAGGAGCAGAAUGAACCGCGAGAAGAGCAUCGCAGGUAGGUAAUCGGACAACGAACCCGGUUUAUGCGGUUCUCUUCCUCCUAUUCCCUAUUUUUCUUUUUCCUUUUUUCACGUCGCGUUUGCACCGCAUCUCCUCUUCUACGCGAUUUGUUCCAUAAAGAAUUGUCUUUCACGUCUAUUAGACGGAUAUAAUUACAUUUGCAUAUUUUAAUACUGCUCAGUGGGAAACCAGUUUUUAUAAAAAAAAAAUAAUGAAUAAAAAUAUCGAUGACGACGGUGAUACAAUCUUGAAUGUGCGAUAAAAGUUUCAAGAUAUAUUGUCCUAUUAUUAUCGCGCUAUCGUUCAAGAGAGGAUGCAUCUGCGUGAAAUUAAAGCUUAAGCUUAAGAAAGUAUUAGUUGAGAGAAUAUCUGGAGGAGACUAAGCUAACGGUCGAUAUCUUCGGUCGCGAUCUACGCGAUUGCAAGUUCGAUGAGUACGGAUCUACUUGUUUCGCAAUGAACAAAACUCUUUGUCCUAAAUAACUGAAAUAAAUAUGUUUGUAUCUAUAUUUACAAAAAUGUUGUAAAAGUGUAUGACAGUAUUGCUUUUCGGCUCGUUUGUAAAAGUAUAAAUUAAGUUUCCUAUUAUCAAGUUACGCAUAUAAAUAGAAUCCUCCUAUCGAUUCUAUUAUAGAUAAUUUUCGCAAAAAAGGAACAACAAUUUUAUAUUUCCAUUCAUAAUUUUAUUUACAUGAAAGUAUUACUUUGGACUGUUAUCGAGUAACAGUGAGUCAAAACGUGCUGUUAGCAUAGCGGAGUCAGAGCGAAGUCCUAAUUUGGACUUGGAUUACAACACAGCCUCUUUAUUUUCCGAUGAACUCGAUGCCACCAAAUACGGAACGUAAAAUUAACACCCACGUAAAUACUAUCUUUCGCAAGAUAAGCCUUUUAUUUCUAACGAAAGACUGGCAAA